Ipomoea nil (Japanese morning glory) is the source of this 912-nucleotide long non-coding RNA. RefSeq lists it as uncharacterized. The transcript has 3 exons. The record is from RefSeq and is a predicted model, not a curated record. Lineage: Eukaryota; Viridiplantae; Streptophyta; Magnoliopsida; Solanales; Convolvulaceae.
CUGUUAUAGUGGUUUGAUAUGUGAACAUUUGCAGGGUUUGCUAAAGAUACUGAUACGAUUCCACUUCGACUCUACAAAAAAGAAUUUGUGGAAUGGGAUUCUUUCUCUACCUUAAAAGCUCAUGUCUUGGGAGUUGGGAUAGUUACUACUGGAUCAAAAGGCUGUAAACUGUCCACAUCAAAGAUUAUUAACAUUUAGUUAGCUGUAACAUCCUUGGACCAAGUAUGAUACAUGUGAAUGGAACAGUUGCAAUAAAAAUCCAUCUGGAUACUGAUAUCUCCAUCAUAAGAGAUGUCAGGGUACCCAUCCCCCCCACCCCCCCUCCCCCAUACACACGCAUGGAAGGUAAAGUAUUCAUGCAUUUGGAGUAAAUACUGACUGGUAGCAUGUGAUGCCCAUCAGCCUAUGGAGUCGAGUAAGGUAAGAAGUGAAGUGUGAGUGUUGUGGUUUGCGGGAUUGGUUUUGACGGUUUUGGUUAACAGGAAGGGCAUGAGUUUCGUCAGCACAUUUAUUCAGGCGAGGAGAGGAGCAGAUGACAGACACGGAGAGGUAAGAGCAAUUAUUGUUCAUGGGACCGGGUGGAUGGGCGCUUUGAUUUGAUAAACUGACUGAGAUAAACCCCCCUGUGGAUUGUGAUCAUAAAAAAAUUGUUGAAAAAUUUUAUCUGUUUUAUGAGUUCUUGAUUGUACAUGGGGAAAAAUUUAUAUAUUACAGCUGUUUUAGCAGAGGACAAGGUUGUCCCUUGAAUUGAACCAUAUGAUCAUGAGUUGAUGCUAUCCAAGAAAAUUUAUUGCUGCAGAAGUUAUUAUUAUGAGUGAUUGACUUUUGGGGACCCCUUCACUCUUCUUCCAUUCUAAUGCUAUAGUUGUGGCACACAGUUUCAAACAUUCUACUUCAUGUAAUCAUGUCAUC